Molecule: ribosomal RNA, 527 nt
Filed under: uncultured Actinomycetes bacterium
Lineage: Bacteria; Bacillati; Actinomycetota; Actinomycetes
Description: bacterial SSU rRNA
Rfam family: Bacterial small subunit ribosomal RNA
Source: RNAcentral
AGAGUUUGAUCCUGGCUCAGGACGAACGCUGGCGGCGCGCUUAACACAUGCAAGUCGAGCGAGAACCAGUCCUUCGGGGCUGGGGACAGCGGCGAACGGGUGAGUAACACGUGGGUAAUCUGCCCUCGGCACCGGAAUAGCCCGGGGAAACCCGGAUUAAUGCCGGAUGGCCUCUCUGCCCUACGGGGCGGCGAGAAAAGGUAGCUUUGGCCUCCGGCCGAGGAUGAGCCCGCGGCCGAUUAGCUUGUUGGUGAGGUAACGGCUCACCAAGGCGACGAUCGGUAGCUGGUCUGAGAGGACGAUCAGCCACACUGGGACUGAGACACGGCCCAGACUCCUACGGGAGGCAGCAGUGGGGAAUCUUGCGCAAUGGGCGAAAGCCUGACGCAGCGACGCCGCGUGCGGGAAGAAGGCCUUCGGGUUGUAAACCGCUUUCAGGAGGGACGAAGCCACUCAGGUUAAUAGCCGAGAGGGUGACGGUACCUCCAGAAGAAGCCCCGGCUAACUACGUGCCAGCAGCCGCGGUA